UUGAUCCUGGCUCAGAAUCAACGCUGGCGGCGUGCCUAACACAUGCAAGUCGAACGAGAAAGUCCCGCAAGGGAUGAGUAAAGUGGCGCACGGGUGAGUUACACGUAGCUAACCUGCCCUCGAGUGGGGGAUAACCUGGGGAAACUCGGUCUAAUACCGCAUAACGUCCUGGUUGCGCGAGCAGCCGGGAUCAAAGGCCUGCAAGGGUCGCUUGGGGAGGGGGCUGCGGCCGAUUAGCUAGUUGGUGAGUUAACGGCCCACCAAGGCUAUGAUCGGUAGCCGGCCUGAGAGGGCGCACGUCCACACUGGCACUGAAACACGGGCCAGACUCCUACGGGAGGCAGCAGUGUGGAAUUUUGCACAAUGCCCGAAAGGGUGAUGCAGCAACGCCGCGUGAGGUAUGAAGGCCUUCGGGUCGUAAACCUCUUUCGAUCGGGAAAAACAGGCUGUUGAAGAGCCAGCUCUGAUGGUACCGGAUGAAGAAGCCCCGGCUAACUACUUGCCAGCAGCCGCGGUAAUAAGGU
RNAcentral lists this ribosomal RNA (524 nucleotides) under uncultured Acidobacteriota bacterium. Its description in RNAcentral is "bacterial SSU rRNA". It matches the Rfam family "Bacterial small subunit ribosomal RNA", at positions 13 to 529 of the family's 1533-position model. The record is from RNAcentral. Lineage: Bacteria; Pseudomonadati; Acidobacteriota.